UUGUGGAGGAGGACGCCGAAGGUGGGGCUAAUGACUGGGGUGAAGUCGUAACAAGGUAGCCGUACCGGAAGGUGCGGCUGGAUCACCUCCUAACAGGGAGACAACAAAAUGUUUAAUAUUAUUAUUUUGUCACCUUAGGUCGAUCGGUAUCUCACAUUCUUAAUUUAUUAAGGAUUUCAUUUCCUAAGUUUUUUCUAGGUCACACCCAUUACUUUUCCUGGGCCAUUAGCUCAGGUGGUUAGAGCGCACCCCUGAUAAGGGUGAGGUCCCUGGUUCAAGUCCAGGAUGGCCCAUAUCUCUAUGUUGGGGGUAUAGCUCAGUUGGUAGAGCGCCUGCUUUGCAAGCAGGAUGUCAGCGGUUCGAGUCCGCUUACCUCCACUGAUUACCACCUCUUCCAUAAUUUUAUUUAAGGAAAUGUUUUGAGUAGUGAUCAAAUUCUGAACGAAUCUAGCUUCCUAAUGAAUUCAUUAAGAUGCUGGACUCAUUGAAUUAUUUUCAUUGUUUUCAGAGAACCUUGACAACUGCAUAGAUUAUUUUUAAAGACAAUAAGCAUCUUUAUGAUGCAGAUUUAUUAUUUGUGCGAAUGCAUUAAUAACAAUUCUAUUAAGCUGAUGCUUCAAUUAUGAAGUUAUUGGUCAAGCUACAA
This 646-nucleotide unclassified non-coding RNA is filed under the name uncultured Prochlorococcus sp. RNAcentral describes it as "partial 16S-23S ribosomal RNA intergenic spacer; may also contain 16S ribosomal RNA and 23S ribosomal RNA". The stretch from base 306 to 378 matches the Rfam family "tRNA". Lineage: Bacteria; Bacillati; Cyanobacteriota; Cyanophyceae; Synechococcales; Prochlorococcaceae. The record is from RNAcentral.